GGCUGUGAAACGGAUAAAAGAAUAAUUGCAUUGGUUGCAUGGAAAAAGGUCAUAAACUUGAAUAUUAAUGGAGGUCUUGGAAUUGAAAGCCUUCAAUCACUUAACCUAGCUCUCCUCUCAAAAUAGUGGUGGUUGUUUAAGAAAGGGGAAGGAUCUUUAUGGCACGAUGUAGUAAAAUCCAUUCAUGGUCCAAGAUAGGAAACUUGGGUUUUGUCGGUCAGCUGCAAACAGAAGAGGAACAUAAGGGACGACCAACAACAUCAAUAAAGCUCUUGACCUCGAAAAUAUAGAUCUUAGAAACAUGUUUUACAUAACUGAUGAAGCCUGGGAAUUGGGCCUUGAAGAUGACAGGAAAUUCACAGUUUCUUCCAUGAUAAAGCUUAUAGAUUGCCACUCUUGAACGUUUGGAUUAUCAUACUUACCGGAACAAGUCGACUCCCAGUAGAGCAAAUGUACUGUUUUGGAGAAUAAGGUUGGGUUGUUUACCAACCUUGGAGAAUUUGGCAGUGAGAAGCUCUCAAAUCAGAUACACGCAUUACCCUUUGUGGCAUAGUUAUGAGGAGACGGAGAACCAUAUGUUUACUAAGGGGCUGUUUGGUAGCCUCUUAAUUGGAAAAUUAAGAGGCAUCCUCUUAUUUUUUCAGAUUAAGUGUGUUUGGUAACAUCUUAAUAAAAGCCUCUUAAUUUAACAAAAGCCUCUUAUUUUUUCAGAUGUAGAACCAAGUCUGAAUUAAAAAAAAAAAAAAAAAAGAUUCCUAUUUGCCCCUAAUAGCGUUUCAACAACCUUCCCUCUUCACUUCUUUCUACUCCAUCGAUGAUACUCCUCCGAUCUGCAACCAUCUCCUGCCUCCCUCCUCCAGCAACGCCGACGCCGGUAACGACACCGAUACCACCACCAACAGUUAUGUGCUUUGGCAUUCCUCAAUAAUCAUCGUCCCCCAGUGAUUAGAAAUUUAGAACCUUAGAAGUGUUCCGCAACCUUCCCUCUUCCCUCCGCUAACACUCCGCCACCAAUCAGUCAUCGUCUCCACCAGCAUUGCCAACGCUUCCAUCCAGCUCUGUCAAACUCGUCGUCAGCAACCAUUAAAAAGCCAUCAAGUUUCAUUAUGGUGUUUUUUUUCUGCAUACAUGAGGCCGAGGGGCAUGAGCUCAGGAAGCUGUGAAGACUUUGAAGCACAAAAAGUGUAGACUUUGAAGUACAAAAAGAAUGUAGCAAUAGAUUUGCAAGUAAGAGAUUGUGGUCAUUAGAUGAUUAUUCUUGAAUUGGUUUAAUUUCUGGUUGUUAUGAUGGUCUUUAGAAUAGCAACAUUUUUCCAUUCCCAUGUUCAAGAACAUAUAUGAUUGUAUUUGUAUACAUUAUUUUAUUAAUUUUGUAUUGAUAAAGAUCUUUCCUAGUUUUAUAA
Lactuca sativa (garden lettuce) is the source of this 1403-nucleotide long non-coding RNA. RefSeq lists it as uncharacterized. Lineage: Eukaryota; Viridiplantae; Streptophyta; Magnoliopsida; Asterales; Asteraceae. The record is from RefSeq and is a predicted model, not a curated record.